This 367-nucleotide unclassified non-coding RNA is filed under the name uncultured Tylospora. RNAcentral describes it as "sequence contains ITS1, 5.8S rRNA gene and ITS2". The stretch from base 99 to 253 matches the Rfam family "5.8S ribosomal RNA". The record is from RNAcentral. Lineage: Eukaryota; Fungi; Basidiomycota; Agaricomycetes; Atheliales; Atheliaceae.
CAAACACCGUGGGCCUUCGGGCCCGCGUAUAUUUACUCUGAAUGUGUAUAGAAUGUAAACCAUUUGUUUGCCCUGAAAAAGCAAACGAAAAAAAAUACAACUUUCAACAACGGAUCUCUUGGCUCUCGCAUCGAUGAAGAACGCAGCGAAAUGCGAUAAGUAAUGUGAAUUGCAGAUUUUCAGUGAAUCAUCGAAUCUUUGAACGCACCUUGCGCCCCUUGGUAUUCCGAGGGGCAUGCCUGUUUGAGUGUCAUUAAAUCCUCAACCGCGCCGAUUGAUUUCGGUGGGGCUUGGACUUUGGAGCGUGCUGGCGAAGGUCGGCUCCUCUUUAAAUGCAUCAGCGGAAGAAACCUUUGUCUUUCCUGCC